RNAcentral lists this long non-coding RNA (268 nucleotides) under Oryza brachyantha (malo sina). Its description in RNAcentral is "long non-coding RNA (OBRA_LNC002461)". Lineage: Eukaryota; Viridiplantae; Streptophyta; Magnoliopsida; Poales; Poaceae. The record is from RNAcentral.
GAUCACCGAUUCAUGCGUCAACUACUCCCUAGGUGAACACAGAAAUCUGAGUCAUGGAUUAUCACUCAAAAUCCAAUUUCCACUAGAACUACCUUUUGUUUUCAUUUCUACCUCCAAAGAUCAAGAGUAAAAAUAAAACUGACAUGACCAAUCCCUCCUCUAAACUUGCAGUCCCCUUCCCAAAAGUUGUAAAACAAGCUCUUUAGCCUAUUGUCGUCACUUCUUAAGAAUAAAACUAGCAUGUGUAUGACAUGAGUACAUAGGGUUC